RNAcentral lists this small nuclear RNA (107 nucleotides) under Canis lupus familiaris (dog). Lineage: Eukaryota; Metazoa; Chordata; Mammalia; Carnivora; Canidae. The record is from RNAcentral.
AUGCUCACUUCAGCAGCACAUAUACUAAAAUUGGAACAUUACAGAGAAGAUUAACAUGGCCCCUGCACAAGGAUGACCUGCAAAUUCAGGAAGUGCUCCAUAUUUUU